RNAcentral lists this unclassified non-coding RNA (2055 nucleotides) under Hevea brasiliensis (rubber tree). The record is from RNAcentral. Lineage: Eukaryota; Viridiplantae; Streptophyta; Magnoliopsida; Malpighiales; Euphorbiaceae.
GUUUUUAGUGUUAUAAAAUGUUCCCAAUCAGCACUAUAUACUUAUCAAUUUAGAUUUUCAAUUAUCUAAUAAAUUAUGAUAUGUGUUCUGAAGUACCUAAUAAAAUCUCAGUAUACACUCAGUUCAAAAAAAUAAAUACCAUGGACAUUAGUGUAACUUGAACUUAGAAUGUGAAAAGUGUGCUUGCUAAUUAACAUUGUACCUCUAAACUCUCCAAAAUGGUCGUAAUCAAACAUUCCCUGUGUUGCAAAUUGAGAAAUAUGAAAAUGUACCUUGGAAUCUAUGCUAUAAUGCAAGUAGUACUACUUCCCUGGGUUUCUUGAGCCUUUAAGCUAUAAUGCAAGUAGUACUACUUCCCUGGGUUUCUUGAGCCUUUAAUUUUCCUUUUUUUUUUAAAAAAAAAAAGGUUAGACUUUUCAUAACCUACAUUGGAGGCAAUAAAUAGCUUUGCUGUUAGUUACACCCAACCGGUAAUAAAUGAGAUGCAAAGCCAACCCAGAGGCGAAAGGUGACCACAACCCAUUUCUAGCCAAUAACAGGGGUCUAAUUACAGCCACACGUGCGUGAAUGACAACAACAUACAACACUUCCCUCCAGUAAUGAAGGCUUCUUUAUUAAUAACUGAUCAACAUCCAAAAGUCCAACUGCCACUGUGCACAGUUUCUACAAUUUUCAUGAUUACAAAAGCUCUCCACACCAGUGAAUCUCCCUGUUUCUAUACUCCAAGCAAACUAACUCUCAUGAGUACCAGAUGUACAAGCCGGUCUUCUGGGAGGGAGUUGCUGGUGAGGUGUUCUCUGAAAGUCCUCAAAUAAUGUCAGUUGAAUCUUGUAACCCAAAAUCUGAAUACCUCUAUUAUAUAUUUGAUGUGUUAUUACCUGCAAUUUUGGUCGCAAUGUUUCUAUGGCCACAGUAGGUUUCUGAUUCACUCCUGCUCCUUGCUGUUCCAUAAUUCAAUACAAAACAGGAGAACUUUUAGUCUAAGACUCUAUAUUUGCGGCUUUCUUGCCAUAAAACAGGACAAGAAGUUAGCAUCAAUUGAGUAUUGAUUGUCAAAUUUUGUUGGCUUAGAAACAUCUCAAGUGGGCAUUGAUGGGCAUUGCCUAAUUGCAAGUUGCAGAGCCAGGUUAUUUUACGCUGAUACAUGGGACCAUUGAUUAUUAAAUUAAAGCAACUGACCAAAAUAGUUAAUAUGGUUUUUAUUAUGAUAAUUACCUUCCAUAAUGCCCAGUCUGCUGAAUCAAAGAAGGCACGUUCAUGGUCCUACACCAGUUAUAAAGACAUCCUUCAGCAUAUUUAUGGAAAAAAAAAAUUAAUGCAAAUAAUGAGAUUUGUCUCUAAAAUUAUAAAAUUUUAAAGUUAAAUACGAAGAAAGAUUAAAUAAAUAUUUCUUAUUGGAAUUGUUAAGCUUACCUUGGAAAUCAAGGGCUUCUUCUUGGGCACAAGACCUCCAUAUUUGUUGGCCAUUGAUGCUCCCUGUUAUUGACAUUCAAAUCAUCUUUCAUUUUCAGAAUUGCUUUUCCUUGCCCUUGACAAGGCUACAAGUACUUGGGUGGGGUCCUAACAUGUCGUGAUACGGUAUGGUAUGGCAUACAGAAUUGUACGCUGCCGACAUCUUCAUCUAAGCUCUCUCCGCAGAUCUCACCAUUUAAUACCAAAAGUUUGUGACGCAAAACAAAAGCUAUUUCCUUAGUUAUUAGCCGUUAGAUGUAGGGACCCCACUCAAAACAAUUGAUCUGAUCAUCACACUGUGAUCACCCAUAGUUUUAAGAUUUCCUUUAUCUUCAUGAAUAAUUAUAUAAAAUUUCCUCUCUUUAUUUUUUUCAAAUGAUAAGGUACCGUUACCAUGGGGCCCAUUAUUCAUCUAAUUAAUAUCAGAUGUCAUCCCCCAUAUCAAACCUGCUCACUCAUUGCGAUCAUGACCGUUAUAAAUCCCCCACCCGCAUUUAACAGCCUGAAAUGAUUGGUUUUAGCUGGGCCCUACAUGGCCAUCACCACAAAAUUCUAUGGCUGUAAGCGUAUCUAAUGAUGCUCUAUGCAACUAACACAUUUAAA